This 253-nucleotide ribosomal RNA is filed under the name uncultured bacterium. RNAcentral describes it as "partial 16S ribosomal RNA". It matches the Rfam family "Bacterial small subunit ribosomal RNA", at positions 524 to 776 of the family's 1533-position model. The record is from RNAcentral.
UACAGAGGGUGCAAGCGUUGCUCGGAUUUACUGGGCGUAAAGCGUACGCAGACGGCAAGGUCGGUCGAAUGUGAAAGCCCAGGGCUCAACCCUGGAAAUGCAUCCGAAACCUCCUUGCUCGAGUAUGAGAGAGGAAAGCGGAAUUCCUGGUGUAGAGGUGAAAUUCGUAGAUAUCAGGAGGAACAUCAGCGGCGAAGGCGGCUUUCUGGCUCAUUACUGACGUUCAGGUACGAAAGCGUGGGUAGCAAACAGG